UAAUAAGAAAGAAUAAUGACGGUAUUUAAUAUGAUAAGCACCGGCUAACUCCGUGCCAGCAGCCGCGGUAAUACGGAGGGGUGCAAGCGUUAUUCGGAAUCACUGGGCGUAAGGGUGCGUAGGCGGUUUGGAAAGUCAGAUGUGAAAGCCUACAGCUUAAACUGUAGAACUGCAUUUGAAACUUCCAGACUAGAAUACUGAAGGGGCAGAUGGAAUUAGUGGUGUAGGGGUAAAAUCCGUAGAUAUCACUAGGAAUACCGAAAGCGAAAGCGAUCUGCUGGGAAGUUAUUGACGCUGAGGCACGAAAGCGUGGGGAGCAAACGGGAUUAGAUACCCCGGUAGUCCACGCCCUAAACGAUGAAUGCUAGUCGUCGGAAAGCUCGUCUUUUCGGUGAUGCAGUUAACACAUUAAGCAUUCCGCCUGGGGAGUACGGUCGCAAGAUUAAAACUCAAAGGAAUAGACGGGGACCCGCACAAGUGGUGGAGCAUGUGGUUUAAUUCGAAGAUACGCGAAGAACCUUACCUAGCCUUGACAUUGAUAGAAUCUGGUAGAGAUACCGGAGUGCCUGCUUGCAGGAACUUGAAAACAGGUGCUGCACGGCUGUCGUCAGCUCGUGUCGUGAGAUGUUGGGUUAAGUCCCGCAACGAGCGCAACCCUCGUCGUUAGUUGCUAACAGUUCGGCUGAGCACUCUAGCGAGACUGCCUUCGCAAGGAGGAGGAAGGUGAGGACGACGUCAAGUCAUCAUGGCCCUUAUGGCUAGGGCUACACACGUGCUACAAUGGGGCGUACAGAGAGUUGCGAUACCGCGAGGUGGAGCUAAUCUCAUAAAGCGUCUCUCAGUUCGGAUUGAUCUCUGCAACUCGAGAUCAUGAAGCUGGAAUCACUAGUAAUCGUAGAUCAGCAAUGCUACGGUGAAUACGUUCCCGGGUCUUGUACUCACCGCCCGUCACACCAUGGGAGUUGAUUUCACCCGAAAUCGGGAAGCAAACCUUCGGGAUGCUACCGCUUACGGUGGAAUUAGCGACUGGGGUGAAGUCGUAACAAGGUA
RNAcentral lists this ribosomal RNA (1050 nucleotides) under uncultured bacterium. RNAcentral's name for it is "bacterial SSU rRNA". It matches the Rfam family "Bacterial small subunit ribosomal RNA", at positions 437 to 1498 of the family's 1533-position model. The record is from RNAcentral.